GUGCUCGUUUCGGCAGCAUAUAUACUAAACUGGAUCAAUACAGAGAAAAUUAGCAUUGUCUCUGCCCAAGGAUGACACGCAGAUUUGUGAAGCGUUCCAUAUUUUU
Nannospalax galili (Upper Galilee mountains blind mole rat) is the source of this 106-nucleotide small nuclear RNA. The record is from Ensembl. Lineage: Eukaryota; Metazoa; Chordata; Mammalia; Rodentia; Spalacidae.